GAUGAACGCUAGCGGCAGGCUUAAUACAUGCAAGGCGAAGGGGCAGCAAUGUCACUGUCGUACGGGUGCGUAACGCGUAUGCAACCUACCUAUCACUGGGGGAUAGCCGGGGGAAACCCGGAUUAAUACCGCAUAACACAGGGGCUCCUCAUGGAGAUAUUUGUUAAAGAUUUAUCGGUGGUAGAUGGGCAUGCGUUCGA
This 200-nucleotide ribosomal RNA is filed under the name uncultured bacterium. RNAcentral describes it as "partial 16S ribosomal RNA". It matches the Rfam family "Bacterial small subunit ribosomal RNA", at positions 28 to 240 of the family's 1533-position model. The record is from RNAcentral.